This 448-nucleotide ribosomal RNA is filed under the name uncultured bacterium. RNAcentral's name for it is "bacterial SSU rRNA". It matches the Rfam family "Bacterial small subunit ribosomal RNA", at positions 30 to 468 of the family's 1533-position model. The record is from RNAcentral.
AUUGAACGCUGGCGGCAGGCCUAACACAUGCAAGUCGAGCGGUAACAGAAAGAAAGCUUGCUUUCUUUGCUGACGAGCGGCGGACGGGUGAGUAAUGCCUAGGAAAUUGCCCUGAUGUGGGGGAUAACCAUUGGAAACGAUGGCUAAUACCGCAUAAUCUCUUCGGAGCAAAGAGGGGGCUCUUAGGACCUCUCGCGUUAGGAUGGGCCCAGUUGGGAUUAGCUAGUUGGUGAGGUAAUGGCUCACCAAGGCGACGAUCCCUAGCUGGUCUGAGAGGAUGAUCAGCCACACUGGGAACUGAGACACGGGUCCAGACUCCUACGGGAGGCAGCAGUGGGGAAUAUUGCACAAUGGGCGCAAGCCUGAUGCAGCCAUGCCGCGUGUGUGAAGAAGGCCUUCGGGUUGUAAAGCACUUUCAGCAGUGAGGAAGGUGGUGUAGUUAAUACCU